RNAcentral lists this ribosomal RNA (468 nucleotides) under uncultured bacterium. RNAcentral's name for it is "partial 16S ribosomal RNA". It matches the Rfam family "Bacterial small subunit ribosomal RNA", at positions 28 to 507 of the family's 1533-position model. The record is from RNAcentral.
GACGAACGCUGGCGGCGUGCUUAACACAUGCAAGUCGAACGGAAAGACCCUGCUUUUGUGCGGUGCUCGAGUGGCGAACGGGUGAGUAUCACGUGAGUAACCUGCUCUUGACUUUCGGAUAACUUCAGGAAAGUGGGGCUAAUACCGGAUCGGAGCUCCUGCUCCAUGGUGGGGGUGGGAUAUUUUCGGCGGGUGGGGAUGGACGCGCGGCUUAUCGGCUUGUUGGUCGGGUGGUGGAUUACCAAGGCUUUGACGGAUAGCCGGCCUGUGUGGGUGACCGGCAACAUUGGGACUGAGAUAAGGCCCAGAGUCGAAGGUGAGGCAGCAGUGGGGAAUAUUACACAAUGGGCGGAAGUGUGAUGCAGCAGCGCCGCGUGUGUGAUGACAGCCUUCUGGGUGUAAACCGCUGGCGCCUAUGACGAAGCGUGAGUGACGGUACUCAGAGAAGAAGCACCGGCUAACUUCGUG